CCUACGAGAGGCAGCAGUGGGGAAUAUUGCACAAUGGGGGAAACCCUGAUGCAGCGACGCCGCGUGAGUGAAGAAGUAUUUCGGUACGUAAAGCUCUAUCAGCAGGGAAGAAAAAAAGUCCUUUGGACUUUGGACGGUACCUGACUAAGAAGCCCCGGCUAACUACGUGCCAGCAGCCGCGGUAAUACGUAGGGGGCAAGCGUUAGCCGGCUUUACUGGGUGUAAAGGGGGCGCAGGCGGGGAUUCAAGCCAGGAGUGCAAGCCUGGGGCCCAACCCCGGGACUGCUCUUGGAACUGCGUGGCUGGAGUGCAGGAGGGGCAGGCGGAAUUCCUGGUGUAGCGGUGAAAGGCGUAGAUAGCAGGAGGAACACCGGUGGCGAAGGCGGCCUGCUGGACUGCAACUGACGUUGAGGCCCGAAAGCGUGGGGAGCAAACAGGAUUAGAUACCCGGGUAGUC
This 457-nucleotide ribosomal RNA is filed under the name uncultured bacterium. Its description in RNAcentral is "partial 16S ribosomal RNA". It matches the Rfam family "Bacterial small subunit ribosomal RNA", at positions 338 to 795 of the family's 1533-position model. The record is from RNAcentral.